Molecule: long non-coding RNA, 235 nt
Filed under: Mytilus galloprovincialis (Mediterranean mussel)
Lineage: Eukaryota; Metazoa; Mollusca; Bivalvia; Mytilida; Mytilidae
Source: RNAcentral
GGUGGUCGUGUGGCCCUAGCGCACCGGAUACAGUGCAGGCGAUUUGGUGUCACGAUAUCUCAGUAGCAUGGUUCGAAUCCGCGAGGGAAGAACAAAAAUUUUGCGAAAGCAAAUUUACAAAUCUUACAUUGUUGGGUAGAUGUUUAGACGAGUUGUAUAUAUAUGCCGCAAUGACCUGUUACAGUACAAAAAGAAGAGGCGCAGCAAAAUAGUUCAUUUGUUUUAACAUACAAUC